CCUACGGGAGGCAGCAGUGGGGAAUAUUCCACCAUGGGCGAAACCCUGAUGGAGCAACGCCGCGUGAGCGAUGAAGGCCUUCGGGUCGUAAAGCUCUGUCCUCAAAGAAGAUAAGUAAGGUACUUGAGGAGGAAGUCGCGGCUAACUACGUGCCAGCAGCCGCGGUAAUACGUAGGGGGCUAGCGUUAUGCGGAAUUACUGGGCGUAAAGGGAGCGUAGGCGGUUCCUUAAGUCAGAGGUGAAAGGCUACGGCUCAACCGUAGUAAGACUUGGACACUGGGGAACUUGAGUGCAGGAGAGGAGAGUGGAAUUCCAAGUGGAGCGGUGAAAUGCGUAGAUAUUAGGAGGAACACCAGUUGCGAAGGCGGCUCUCUGGACUGUAACUGACACUGAGGCACGAAAGUGUGGGGAGCAAACAGGAUUAGAUACCCUGGUAGUC
Molecule: ribosomal RNA, 439 nt
Filed under: uncultured bacterium
Lineage: Bacteria
Description: partial 16S ribosomal RNA
Rfam family: Bacterial small subunit ribosomal RNA
Source: RNAcentral